RNAcentral lists this ribosomal RNA (773 nucleotides) under uncultured bacterium. RNAcentral's name for it is "bacterial SSU rRNA". It matches the Rfam family "Bacterial small subunit ribosomal RNA", at positions 8 to 798 of the family's 1533-position model. The record is from RNAcentral.
AGAGUUUGAUCCUGGCUCAGGACGAACGCUGGCGGCGUGCUUAACACAUGCAAGUCGAACGGAAAGGCCCUUCGGGGUACUCGAGUGGCGAACGGGUGAGUAACACGUGGGUGAUCUGCCCUGCACUUUGGGAUAAGCCUGGGAAACUGGGUCUAAUACCGAAUAUGACCACGCUCUUCAUGGGGUGUGGUGGAAAGCUUUUGCGGUGUGGGAUGGGCCCGCGGCCUAUCAGCUUGUUGGUGGGGUAAUGGCCUACCAAGGCGACGACGGGUAGCCGGCCUGAGAGGGUGACCGGCCACACUGGGACUGAGAUACGGCCCAGACUCCUACGGGAGGCAGCAGUGGGGAAUAUUGCACAAUGGGCGCAAGCCUGAUGCAGCGACGCCGCGUGAGGGAUGACGGCCUUCGGGUUGUAAACCUCUUUCACCAGGGACGAAGCGCAAGUGACGGUACCUGGAGAAGAAGCACCGGCCAACUACGUGCCAGCAGCCGCGGUAAUACGUAGGGUGCGAGCGUUGUCCGGAAUUACUGGGCGUAAAGAGCUCGUAGGUGGUUUGUCGCGUUGUUCGUGAAAACUCACAGCUUAACUGUGGGCGUGCGGGCGAUACGGGCAGACUAGAGUACUGCAGGGGAGACAGGAAUUCCUGGUGUAGCGGUGGAAUGCGCAGAUAUCAGGAGGAACACCGGUGGCGAAGGCGGGUCUCUGGGCAGUAACUGACGCUGAGGAGCGAAAGCGUGGGGAGCGAACAGGAUUAGAUACCCUGGUAGUCCAA